ACUCCUACGGGAGGCAGCAGUGGGGAAUCUUGGACAAUGGGCGCAAGCCUGAUCCAGCCAUGCCGCGUGAGCGAUGAAGGCCUUAGGGUCGUAAAACUCUUUCGCCAGGGAUGAUAAUGACAGUACCUGGUAAAGAAACCCCGGCUAACUCCGUGCCAGCAGCCGCGGUAAUACGGAGGGGUUAGCGUUGUUCGGAAUUACUGGGGCGUAAAGCGCGCGUAGGCGGACUAGUUAGUCAGAGGUGAAAUCCCGGGGCUCAACCCCGGAACUGCCUUUGAUACUGCUAGUCUUGAGUUCGAGAGAGGUGAGUGGAAUUCCGAGUGUAGAGGUGAAAUUCGUAGAUAUUCGGAGGAACACCAGUGGCGAAGGCGGCUCACUGGCUCGAUACUGACGCUGAGGUGCGAAAGUGUGGGGAGCAAACAGGAUUAGAUACCCUGGUAGGAUAGCCG
RNAcentral lists this ribosomal RNA (449 nucleotides) under uncultured bacterium. RNAcentral's name for it is "bacterial SSU rRNA". It matches the Rfam family "Bacterial small subunit ribosomal RNA", at positions 335 to 797 of the family's 1533-position model. The record is from RNAcentral.